This 709-nucleotide ribosomal RNA is filed under the name uncultured bacterium. Its description in RNAcentral is "bacterial SSU rRNA". It matches the Rfam family "Bacterial small subunit ribosomal RNA", at positions 59 to 769 of the family's 1533-position model. The record is from RNAcentral.
CAGUCGAGGGGUAUAGUUCUUCGGAACUAGAGACCGGCGCACGGGUGCGUAACGCGUAUGCAAUCUACCUUUCACAAAGGGAUAGCCCAGAGAAAUUUGGAUUAAUACCUUAUAGUAUAUAUGAAUGGCAUCAUUUAUAUAUUAAAGAUUUAUCGGUGAAAGAUGAGCAUGCGUCCCAUUAGCUAGUUGGUAAGGUAACGGCUUACCAAGGCAACGAUGGGUAGGGGUCCUGAGAGGGAGAUCCCCCACACUGGUACUGAGACACGGACCAGACUCCUACGGGAGGCAGCAGUGAGGAAUAUUGGACAAUGGGCGCAAGCCUGAUCCAGCCAUGCCGCGUGCAGGAUGACGGUCCUAUGGAUUGUAAACUGCUUUUAUACAGGAAGAAACACUUGCUCGUGAGCAAACUUGACGGUACUGUAAGAAUAAGGAUCGGCUAACUCCGUGCCAGCAGCCGCGGUAAUACGGAGGAUCCAAGCGUUAUCCGGAAUCAUUGGGUUUAAAGGGUCCGUAGGCGGUCAGGUAAGUCAGUGGUGAAAGCCCAUCGCUCAACGGUGGAACGGCCAUUGAUACUGUCUGACUUGAAUUAUUAGGAAGUAACUAGAAUAUGUAGUGUAGCGGUGAAAUGCUUAGAGAUUACAUGGAAUACCAAUUGCGAAGGCAGGUUACUACUAAUAUAUUGACGCUGAUGGACGAAAGCGUGGGUAGC